Molecule: long non-coding RNA, 1006 nt
Filed under: Sinocyclocheilus grahami
Lineage: Eukaryota; Metazoa; Chordata; Actinopteri; Cypriniformes; Cyprinidae
Description: lncRNA (ENSSGRG00000051441.1)
Source: RNAcentral
AUAGAGCUUAUAUAGGAAUGCUGCGAUAGGUGUCGUAUUCCUAUAGGUAGAUGUGAUCAGCUGAGAAUCAGCUGAUGCAAGCUUGACUCACGUGACCUGCCAGAACUAACGCUAACGCUUAAUUAAUAUUUAAAAAAAAUUAUGCGAAUAUAUGGUGGUUGAAAUACAAUACUGCGUGAUCUCAACCAAUCAGCAUGCUCAGCGCCUAAGUCCCGCCCCCGAAAGUUCUGGACCUUUGGAAAAAUACUACCUCGCGAGCAGGGACUUUCUGAGGGGCUUUAUUUAGAUCCUGAUUCCUGCAGUGGAAACACAUCGAAUUCCGCCCAAUGUCCCUAGUUCCUGCGGUGGAAACGGUGCUUUAGAUGGCCUACUAUCAUCACUUUAUUUUGGUAGAAAGUAGAGCGAGAGAUCAAUAGGAAAGACAGUAUUGAGAAAUGGCACGAGGCUCGAACUCUACCACACAUGUGAGAACCAUUGCUAAACAUAGCUAACUUUAAUCCACCUCAAAUAGGUUUUCUUCGCAUAUAUCAUCCUGUCUCUCAUUUCACCACUUCAUCCUGUUUUCUCUUAAAUCAGACUAACUACUAACUCACCCCCUCCUUUCACUUCAGAACCCACGCCUAAGGAGACAGAGGUUACACGCCGCUUUUCUUUAGCCUCAACUGUCAGCUCCGCCUCUGCACCGCGCACUAAAGUUCCUCUCUCCUCUAGCCUUAAGAGCAAGAGGCAUCAGGUCAAGAGCGACCCUACACCAUUUGGCUAUGAAGGAUGGAGUCAACGGCGUCUGCCAUCAAUGGACGCUGAGGAUUUUGAGACCAUUCCAUCAAGUGCAGAAGAACUCUCCAUUUCCUCAGAUGGAGAGGAUGAAGGACAAAACAAAAACGUGUGUGUCUGGCUCUACAACAUCUUCAUUUACUUUCUGUCAGCAUAUCUCAUUCGUUUCUUUGCAUAUUUGUAUUGAGGGACAAAAAAAGUCAAAUAUUCCUUAAAGGGAUAGUUCACCCCG